Molecule: unclassified non-coding RNA, 218 nt
Filed under: Tomentella stuposa
Lineage: Eukaryota; Fungi; Basidiomycota; Agaricomycetes; Thelephorales; Thelephoraceae
Description: partial internal transcribed spacer 2
Source: RNAcentral
ACACCUCAACUCUCACGGCUUGCCUGUGAUGAGCUUGGACUUUGGGGGUCUUGCUGGCCUGUGGUCGGCUCCUCUCGAAUAAAUUAGCUCGCCGGUGUUUGGUGGGGUCACAGGUGUGAUAACUAUCUACGCUUGCGGUUUUCCACCGGGUAACCUUCAGCAAUGGAGGUUCACCGGAGCUUACAAAUGUCUCUCCUCAGUGAAGACAGAUUUUGACC